AGUUUAAACGUUUAGUUCUUUGACAAUAUUAAUUCAACUUCAAUUCAAAAGUUGCAACAAAUUUUAAUUUAACUUAUUUAUUCCUUUGUUAGCAUUAAAAUGUUUAGAAAAUUAUCGUUCCCACGAAACUUUCCAAGAACUGUUAAAAACGUUAUAAAUCGCCAAAUUGGGUGGUCGAAAGGCCAUGUGUUUUAACAAGUGGAUAUGCAAAGAUAUGGGGGUUGGCGACGGCCUGGCUCUGCACCACAGUCGCCCAGCUAAUCCAAUGAUUUUCUCACAAAAGCAUAAUUAAUUUACUUUCGUUUAAAAUAGCCAAAAUUUAUUGAUAAACCUAAAAUUAAAUCCAAAAUUUUGUUUAGAAAUUAACUAGUCACGUUUCAAAAAGAAAGGAAUUUAUGAGCCAAUUUAAGGCACGUUGAUGAUCAGUAAACAACUCGAGAAAGAAUCAAAAUUUCAUCUUAUUCAAAAAUUCCCGUAACGUUUCGUACCAAAAAGUUGAGUCUUUAUGCAGUGUACUCCAGUCAUCAAAUAAAAUUGAAUAAUUUAUUUUAUUCGGCGUAAUUGUUAACAAAUUGUUGCAAAACUUCAAGAACGAAUUGGUCGAUUGAAAUUCAUGUCUGUUAACUAGAUUAGUAUAGCCAAAACGACGUUGGUCAAGUGCCGCUUGAAUAGGGGGUGUUGACAAAUUCGUUACAGAACAGAGCUUUUUAAAAGAAUAUCAAAUUACAAGCACACAUGUGCAUUCCUUAUAAGAAAUUGCAGCGAAAUUAACGUUUUCUUUGUUAAAUCAACAUCAGAUCACGAAACCAGUAGUUUAGAAAAACACGCGAAAUUUUUCUGAACAUUUUGAUGUAAAAUUUAACCCUAAUAUUUAAGGCGCAGCCGUCGAAAUUCGGAUGUAUAAAUCAUUCUAUUUAAUUAAAUUAUUGUAAGCAAAAAAAUUGCAUGACACGAUUGCUGCCCGUUACUAACAUAAUCCUAAGAGGAAAGUAGACAGGAAAAUCCCUAAGGAAAUUGGAGAAAAACGCGGAAAUGUUAAAAUAGUACCGGUGUAGUACUGGGGGCGACAUCUAACAACGGGUAGUACGACCAAAAUUACAGUUUCCUCACGGGGUUCUUCCUUAUAUUUUCUGUGUUAUUUAAACAAACAAAAUUUGUUGUUACACAAAAUUCAUUUCAUUGUGUUCCCAAAAACAACUUCAGACCUGACAACAACCAAUUUUGGAGUUUAAUUUCUCUUUCAGGAUAUUUGGGGAAAUUCCAUAGCGUUCUUGUAUUGUAUUCAGUUCAGAUCGACGAUUACCAAAUUUAAUGUUUAAUUAUAAUGAAAUUGUUAAUCGGAAAACACCCCAGCUGUUAAUUAAUAAUAAUAUUUAGAAAGUUAAACAAGGUUUGAUCAAAUGCCAAGACAUCAUAAGAGUCAGAUUUGCAAAAUUUCGCAUAUGUGGAAACUACUUAACAAGGGUAGUGGGGUAAGCGAGUUAGUGUAGCUUACGCAAGAUGAGCCCUUGACUUUAGGGGGGAUUCGAUUUUUGACGGUCUUUCGAGGUAGUCGAUUGUCGUGUUGCCCUUUAAAUUUUUAUAAAUUUAAAAACAUCUUCGUUUACCUUUUAGUGCGUCUAAAUUGUACUAAGUGCAUUUAAGCGUAAUUUUAAAUUAAAUUAAUUUAAAUUCUUGAAUUAAGUGAUAGCGUUAGUGAUUAGUGAGUAAGUUAAAAACGAGACAAGUUUAGUGUUCGUUCGAUUAGGUAGUGCUGCGAACUACAACACCUGGGAAGCAGCUAACCCCCUGCGUUAGGAGGAUUAAAAUUUCUAGGUAGGCCCUCAAAAGGAUUAAUUAAUUUUUUAUUCAUUUAAUAUUAUAAUAUUAAAUCAUUUAAGUCAUUUCGAAAUAGUGAUCAUUAUCAUUCAUUUCAUAAAUUCUCUCGUAACCACCAAGUUAUUAAGCAUCGGAAAUGCCGAAAAGACCAGUAAUUAUUUAAAUUCUUGUGCUUCGUACUACGUCAGCUAUAUAAAUUUUAAAUAAAUCAUUUUCAACUUAAAAUAACUCGCAACAAACAAUUUCAUAUUUUUCAAUUCAACCAUCCCACCUUUAAAUUACAAUAUUAAAAGUUCUUUAUAUUCUUUGCUUCUAACUUCUAAAUCUGUUACGACAAAUUUGAGUGAAACGGCAUCAAACAAAUAUUCAACUACAACAAAAGUCUAAAUCCAAAACCCACGGUGCUAGUCAAACUGUUGUACACAGAUAAUUUAAGGUUGCAUACACCAAAAUAUUACGAAAUAGAAGGAUUUGUUGCUAGUUAAGGAUAGGUUUAGAGUAGAACGAUUUCUCUUCCGCAACGCGUUAGGCGAUAAAGCAAAAGAGUGUUUCUCUUUUGCGUCCAGAUCAGAAAUUACAGGCUCGUGAGUUGGCCAUCUUCAUGGGAAGAGUCGUAGUCCCCGGGGACGCUCUUCCCCAACUUUAACAAGGUCUAAGACGCGGUGGCAGGUCGUAGUUUCCGCCCGUUGUACUUAGAAUGGACGUUGUAAUUCCCGUCCCAACGGCAAGUACUUCCACGUACUUGCAGGCUACUACGGACGAUCGAGCAGACAUAAUCAUCCGUGAUUAUCUGUAAUAAACUGAUAUCGCGACAUGGCAAAGUUCUGCACAAGUCUUUGUCAAAGCUCGUGGACGGAAAACUUUAGAGAGAAAUUACUUCUACAUUUAUUCAGAUUGAUUUGUAAAAGCUUGUAUGUCCGGGUUUUAUUCGUAAUUCAUUCUAGGUGUUGAUCACCUGACUUUUACCGGAGACGGAAUUUCGGCACUAGGGCGCAAAAUUCAAUGCGAUGCACGUAUCAAAGAUUCCGCGAGCAUGUUAUAAUCCGCCUUUGGUACAAGUAAUUUAGAAACGCGUUGUCAAUUGCCUGGAUCCUAUGAGUUCGAGCAAUAUCAUCUGAAACGUAGGUUAAUUUAUUUGGACAUUAUCGAAUUAAAUUAAUUCAUGUUAAAUAUUAACGUCAUAUCAUAUCAAUAAAACUUUUUCGUAUCACUCAGCAACUUCGAAACUAUUUACUUGGAAUUUCAAACGAAUUGUGGUUACGACUCUGAGAUAUGUUUUGACGACAUUACUAUACAAAAACAAAUAACAAUUGGCCAAAUUUGAUCAAACUUUCAUAACCAUUGAUUAUUGUAAUCCAUCCAACGGAAUAUUCAUUAUUCUUGUAAUAAAUAACUUUGGAGGAAACUUGUGGUUUAAAUUUCUUCUCCCAUGCGUUUUGACACUACUUUGAAUCCGGACUUGCGUUACGGAUAAAUCCGGAACCCUUUCUGAUAAGAAUUAAGAUCAAAUUACGAUAUCAUUAUAAGAGUGACUUCGUACAUCAAAACAACACAACGUAGGUAAGUGAAAUGAUCAUGUAGCGUAUCAAUUAACUAGACGAGCCAAACCAUUUCAAAAAAAGAAAACAAAAGUAAAAUUCAAGAUUAAUUAAAUAAAUCAAUUAAAAUAAGUUGUAAAUCAUUUAAACAUCGAUCAACCAUCAUCAAUCACAGUCUCACUACAGUACUUUGGGUUGUUGUGGCCACACUGAAGUACACAGCAUUUUGCAAUAUUUAGUGGUAUUUGCCACUUCUCGCUCCAUUGGAAGAUUAAAUUAAGUUGGUCUUGCAAGUCCGUGACAAGUGGGUUAGCAAAUAACUUAAUAUCAUCCGCAUAUGCUGAAUAGCUGUCCAGUGAAAACAAUAAAUCUGCUGUAUAUAACAAGAAUAAAAUUGGUCCAAGAACUGAUCCCUGUGGGACCCCACUUAAUACUGGUUUAGAGUACGAAAAUUUACCACAGACUUUUACACAAUAGUUUCGAUUUGAUAGAAACGCUCGGAUCCAAUCAAGCAAAUUUCCUGUUACACCAUAGGACUCCAGUUUUGCUAACAAGAGAUUGUGAGGGACUUUAUCAAAGGCUUUACUAAAAUCAAGGUAAAUUAUGUCUACAGGUUGGUUAGUGUCUAACAUUUUUGUCCAUAGAUUUGUGCAGGAUAGCAAAUUUGUGACAACUGACCUACCUGGUAAAAAGCCGUGCUGAUGCUCAGCAUGUCGACGUGAGACUUACAGGUCUAUAGUUAGCAGGAUCAAGUUUAUCUCCUGACUUGUACAAAGGCGUGAUUGUUGCUUGCAACCACUCGUAGGGCAAAGUGCCUUGUAAGAAUGAUUUUGUCAUCAUUUUGGCAAGUGGGCCCGACAACGAAGCAGCACAAGUUCUCAGGAGUUUGGGAGGUAUCUGAUCCGGACCUGGAGCUGUAUUUAAUUUAAUGGCACAGAGUUGGCUUUUUACCAGAUCCGGAGUAAAAUUAAUAUAAGACAACCCACUAAAUGUAGCAGCAAAACUGUCCGCUAAAGUGUUUGCAGUUUCUGUAUGAUCGGAGCAGAGUAGACCUGAAGCAUUUCGUACUAAAGGGACCGACACACGACUAGAGAUAAAUUUACGUACAUGGGAAUAAAAUAGUUUUGGUUUAUUUAAUAUAGAAUUUUCAUAAUUACACCUGGCUAUUUGUAAAUCAGAUUUUAGUUGGUUAGAAAAUCUUUUAUAAGCAGAAAAAUUAUCUUCAGUAGGCUUCCUUUUAAAUUUUUUCCAUAAUUUAGCUUUGUAUUUUAUUUUGUCAAGCAUGUGUUGAUUUAUCCACGGUUUAUCUUUUCUCAGUCGGUUUGUAAACAGUCUGGAAUUUGUUGUAAUGCAAGUUUGUAAAAUCGAUUUAAAAUGUUUCCAUUGUUCUUCCGCAUUUAGUGAAUCUAAACCAUUCCAGUCGUAAGUCAAGAGACUUUCGUCUAUGCGAGUGUAGUCAACAAUUGAUGUUGUUUUAAUUCUUGCAUUUGGCUCUGAAUAUAUCAUAAUUUGUAACUCAAUUUCGAUUUUUGAAUGAUCAGAUGUACCUACAGGAUUCGAAACGUUUAAAGACGAUACAAGGUUAACGUCAGACAAAAUUACCAAAUCAAGUAAUGAAGGACGUUGUUGGGAUCUAAAUCGUGUAGGUUCAGUGACUAUUUGUGACAAAUUAUUCUCCAAGAGCAAUUCAGAAAAUUGUUUUUCGAUGAUUGUUUGACCUGUUGUGUUUUUAGCAGACCAGUCUAUACAUGGAAAAUUGAAAUCUCCCAUGAUAAUUAAGUUAGGAUACUGAUUAAUAGUUGAUUGUAUGGUAUUAAAUAGAUUUUUAUCAUUUUCGUGAUUGUUAAAAGACGCUCCUGUUGGUGGUCUGUAAAUACAUGCUAUAACAAAGG
Long non-coding RNA from Tribolium castaneum (red flour beetle), 5248 nucleotides. RefSeq lists it as uncharacterized. The transcript is spliced from 3 exons. Lineage: Eukaryota; Metazoa; Arthropoda; Insecta; Coleoptera; Tenebrionidae. The record is from RefSeq and is a predicted model, not a curated record.